Molecule: long non-coding RNA, 1032 nt
Filed under: Capra hircus (goat)
Lineage: Eukaryota; Metazoa; Chordata; Mammalia; Artiodactyla; Bovidae
Description: lncRNA (ENSCHIG00010000934.1)
Source: RNAcentral
UGGAACGACUACGUGAGUGUGGAUGCGUGUAAGGGACCUAGAACACUGCCUGGCACGUGUGAAGGAAGGACUCAGUACACAUUUACUGCUGCUGCUCACACCUUAUUAUCACAUGAUCGUCUCUGAAGCAUACUUUCUCUACUGGAGUGGAGAAUAUGACUAGCAGUUGAGAUUCAAAUACUAGCAUCCUUCCUGGUUUGCCCAAUGUAAACUCUGGCUUAUAACAGGUAAGUUUGAGGACUGAUGGUUUUUUACAAGCUAGCACUUACCCCAGCUUUUUAGACAUACAGUACCUACUCCUUGAAUCCACGUGNNNNNNNNNNNNUCAUCUGCCUUACUUAUAUAAGAACUUAAGGAGGUAAAUAUUUGGGCCAAUUUGCUUAAUCAAAUGAAUUUCCAGAAAAAUAGGAAUGUCAAACAGUGAGCAGGAUUUAAAAUAGCAAUUUUAAAACCAUUAACUCAAUACUCUUCCUAUGUAAACCAUCACAAUAUUACUUAUCAUACUUUUUUCUCUGCCUUAUCAAUUUUAAUCCAUAUUUUUCUCCCCAUUUUCUUAAAUUUUCUCAUUCUCUGCAUUUUUAUAUCUCACCAUCCAUAGUUUUGUGUCUUAGGUAGUCUAGGAUUUAUAGUAAAAGAACCAAAUUCACAUGCAGAUAAGAUUCUGCUGACUGAUCAUGCUCAUAAAGAAAUACACUAAAGGUUUAAUCGCCAAGUGUAGCUCAAACUUUAGAGCAUCAGGGAUCACAAAGAAAGGAGUUCCAAUCUUUUAUUUGAAAGUUGAGGAGUCAGGAUAAGAUGACACCAAAUCUGCCUGUCUGAUCCGAAAGACCCGGGGACUUUCUUCUAAUUCAUCUCACCUGCUUGCUCCCUUUUGUUCCUCAGGGACAGAGGACAGCAUUUACCCACCACAAGUUCUGAUUAUUACAAGUUAAUUUUAUUGAAUGCCACAAUCUAUGUCCUGCUGGUUGCACACGAGGGAUAUCAGAUUGGGAUAAGGAUAAAUUCUACAUUGAUUGAGUCAUCAUUCUGUGU